GACGAACGCUGGCGGCGUGCUUAACACAUGCAAGUCGAACGGAAAGGCCCUGCUUUUGUGGGGUGCUCGAGUGGCGAACGGGUGAGUAACACGUGAGUAACCUGCCCUUGACUUUGGGAUAACUUCAGGAAACUGGGGCUAAUACCUGAUAGGAGCUCCUGCUGCAUGGUGGGGGUUGGAAAGUUUCGGCGGUUGGGGAUGGACUCGCGGCUUAUCAGCUUGUUGGUGGGGUAGUGGCUUACCAAGGCUUUGACGGGUAGCCGGCAUGAGAGGGUGACCGGCCACAUUGGGACUGAGAUACGGACCAGACUCCUACGGGAGGCAGCAGUGGGGAAUAGUGCACAAUGGGCGGAAGCCUGAUGCAGCAACGCCGCGUGCGGGAUGACGGCCUUCGGGUUGUAAACCGCUUUCGCCUGUGACGAAGCGUGAGUGACGGUAAUGGGUAAAGAAGCACCGGCUAACUACGUG
This 468-nucleotide ribosomal RNA is filed under the name uncultured bacterium. RNAcentral describes it as "partial 16S ribosomal RNA". It matches the Rfam family "Bacterial small subunit ribosomal RNA", at positions 28 to 507 of the family's 1533-position model. The record is from RNAcentral.